This 378-nucleotide unclassified non-coding RNA is filed under the name plant metagenome. RNAcentral describes it as "partial contains 5.8S ribosomal RNA, internal transcribed spacer 2, and large subunit ribosomal RNA". The stretch from base 1 to 105 matches the Rfam family "5.8S ribosomal RNA", at positions 50 to 154 of the family's 154-position model. The record is from RNAcentral.
UAAAUGCGAUAAGUAAUGUGAAUUGCAGAAUUCAGUGAAUCAUCGAAUCUUUGAACGCACCUUGCGCUCCUUGGUAUUCCUUGGAGCAUGCCUGUUUGAGUAUCAUGAAAUCUUCAAAGUGAAUCUUUUGUUAACUCAAUUGGUUUCUACUUUGGUAUUGGAGGUCUUUGCAGCUUCACACCUGCUCCUCUUUGUUCAUUAGCUGGAUCUCAGUGUUAUGCUUGGUUCCACUCGGCGUGAUAAGUUAUCUAUCGCUGAGGACACUGUAAAAGGUGGCCAAGGUAAAUGCAGAUGAACCGCUUCUAAUAGUCCAUUGACUUGGACAAUACUUUUAUGAUCUGAUCUCAAAUCAGGUAGGACUACCCGCUGAACUUAAGC